AUACGGAGGGGGCUAGCGUUGUUCGGAAUUACUGGGCGUAAAGCGCACGUAGGCGGCUUUGUAAGUCAGAGGAGAAAGCCUGGAGCUCAACUCCAGAACUGCCUUUGAGACUGCAUCGCUUGAAUCCAGGAGAGGUCAGUGGAAUUCCGAGUGUAGAGGUGAAAUUCGUAGAUAUUCGGAAGAACACCAGUGGCGAAGGCGGCUGACUGGACUGGUAUUGACGCUGAGGUGCGAAAGCGUGGGGAGCAAACAGGAUUAGAUACCCUAGUAGUCC
RNAcentral lists this ribosomal RNA (274 nucleotides) under uncultured bacterium. RNAcentral's name for it is "partial 16S ribosomal RNA". It matches the Rfam family "Bacterial small subunit ribosomal RNA", at positions 523 to 796 of the family's 1533-position model. The record is from RNAcentral.